UUCGAUAGGUGGCGCUCGGUAAACGGAUAGUCGCAGAUCAGUAUGAAAUACAUUUGCUCAAUUUUCGUUUAAAUAAUAUCUUAUCUCCUCGAAUUAGUCUAAGAAGUGUUUAUAUAAUUUACAAAGAUGUUGUUAUCAUUUUGAGGUCUCAAUUUUAUAGUGGAAAAUAAUUUAGUAAAUUCGAAUUUGCGACUUAUCGGAUUUGAAAUUCAAUUGUAUUGGCGGACAAAAUAACGACAGGUUGACAGACAAAGUUGUAUAUUCCAAACAAAAGAAAAAGAUUGUGAAAAUUAUGAUAAUUCAACAUCUGUCAAAAGUUCAGGAGGAAGAUGAAAAUAUUAAGAGGAAAAGAAAAAUGAAAACCUACCAAGAUUUUGUGACAGGUAUAUUUCAAAAUAUUAUAGAAAAUACAGUGAUCUUAUUACCCUUGAUUUUAUAAUGAAAUUCACGAAGCCAUUUAUAUCAAAAUCAAUAGAUAUAUACAGUAGGUACACGAAACUAUAUGGUUUAAACUAAAUUAAAAAUAAUAAGUGUCUUUUUUAAGUAGUUGGAGAGUUUUAUUAGAAUUUCGUUUAAUUAUAAUACAAUGUAUGUAAAAAUGAUUUAUUUCUUGCACUUGUAAUUGAUUAUUUUAUUUUUUUAAUUUCAGAAAGUGUGAUGAGAUCUCAGAGACGGUAAUGAUACGCUUAAAGUAUGCCCCCAGAUCGACAUAGUGGAGGAGGACGAAAGAAGAAUACUAAUGAAGAUACAUGAACAUUGCUAUUUAUAGUUAUAACAAAAUAUUCAGAAUAUUGUUCCAUUUAACAUUCAGAUCUAGAUUCAGUUAUAAAAUACAAAGACAAAUAUACAAUCAGUGAGUUGGAUAGAUGAUUGGAAAAUCCCAAACUCAGGGUGAUCAGUUCAGU
Molecule: long non-coding RNA, 905 nt
Organism: Ruditapes philippinarum (Manila clam)
Lineage: Eukaryota; Metazoa; Mollusca; Bivalvia; Venerida; Veneridae
Exons: 2
Source: RefSeq, a predicted model, not a curated record